Molecule: small nucleolar RNA, 106 nt
Organism: Cynara cardunculus var. scolymus (artichoke)
Lineage: Eukaryota; Viridiplantae; Streptophyta; Magnoliopsida; Asterales; Asteraceae
Source: RefSeq, a predicted model, not a curated record
AUUCCAUCAUAUAGGCACUUCCUUAGAAGUUCCUUGAAUCUCUCCCAAGCAUAUGAAAAUGUUUCAUCAACCCCUUGCUGAAACAGAAAAUUUCAUUUCUGAAUUU